Ictidomys tridecemlineatus (thirteen-lined ground squirrel) is the source of this 72-nucleotide non-coding RNA. Lineage: Eukaryota; Metazoa; Chordata; Mammalia; Rodentia; Sciuridae. The record is from Rfam.
UGGGGUUUGGCUCAGCAGUAGAGCACUUGCCUUGCACGUGCAAGACCCUGGGUUCAAUCCUCAGCACCACAU